This 844-nucleotide ribosomal RNA is filed under the name Vibrio breoganii. Its description in RNAcentral is "bacterial SSU rRNA". It matches the Rfam family "Bacterial small subunit ribosomal RNA", at positions 111 to 951 of the family's 1533-position model. The record is from RNAcentral. Lineage: Bacteria; Pseudomonadati; Pseudomonadota; Gammaproteobacteria; Vibrionales; Vibrionaceae.
UAAUGCCUGGGAAAUUGCCCUGAUGUGGGGGAUAACCAUUGGAAACGAUGGCUAAUACCGCAUAACGUCUACGGACCAAAGAGGGGGACCUUCGGGCCUCUCGCUUCAGGAUAUGCCCAGGUGGGAUUAGCUAGUUGGUGAGGUAAUGGCUCACCAAGGCGACGAUCCCUAGCUGGUCUGAGAGGAUGAUCAGCCACACUGGAACUGAGACACGGUCCAGACUCCUACGGGAGGCAGCAGUGGGGAAUAUUGCACAAUGGGCGCAAGCCUGAUGCAGCCAUGCCGCGUGUAUGAAGAAGGCCUUCGGGUUGUAAAGUACUUUCAGUCGUGAGGAAGGCGUUGAAGUUAAUAGCUUCAUUGUUUGACGUUAGCGACAGAAGAAGCACCGGCUAACUCCGUGCCAGCAGCCGCGGUAAUACGGAGGGUGCGAGCGUUAAUCGGAAUUACUGGGCGUAAAGCGCAUGCAGGUGGUUUGUUAAGUCAGAUGUGAAAGCCCGGGGCUCAACCUCGGAACCGCAUUUGAAACUGGCAGGCUAGAGUACUGUAGAGGGGGGUAGAAUUUCAGGUGUAGCGGUGAAAUGCGUAGAGAUCUGAAGGAAUACCAGUGGCGAAGGCGGCCCCCUGGACAGAUACUGACACUCAGAUGCGAAAGCGUGGGGAGCAAACAGGAUUAGAUACCCUGGUAGUCCACGCCGUAAACGAUGUCUACUUGGAGGUUGUGGCCUUGAGCCGUGGCUUUCGGAGCUAACGCGUUAAGUAGACCGCCUGGGGAGUACGGUCGCAAGAUUAAAACUCAAAUGAAUUGACGGGGGCCCGCACAAGCGGUGGAGCAUGGGGUUUAAUU